This 1533-nucleotide ribosomal RNA is filed under the name Kocuria rosea. RNAcentral's name for it is "bacterial SSU rRNA". It matches the Rfam family "Bacterial small subunit ribosomal RNA". The record is from RNAcentral. Lineage: Bacteria; Bacillati; Actinomycetota; Actinomycetes; Micrococcales; Micrococcaceae.
UUGACGGAGAGUUUGAUCCUGGCUCAGGACGAACGCUGGCGGCGUGCUUAACACAUGCAAGUCGAACGAUGAUGCCCAGCUUGCUGGGCGGAUUAGUGGCGAACGGGUGAGUAAUACGUGAGUAACCUGCCCUUGACUCUGGGAUAAGCCUGGGAAACUGGGUCUAAUACUGGAUACUACUUCCUGCCGCAUGGUGGGUGGUGGAAAGGGUUUUACUGGUUUUGGAUGGGCUCACGGCCUAUCAGCUUGUUGGUGGGGUAAUGGCUCACCAAGGCGACGACGGGUAGCCGGCCUGAGAGGGUGACCGGCCACACUGGGACUGAGACACGGCCCAGACUCCUACGGGAGGCAGCAGUGGGGAAUAUUGCACAAUGGGCGGAAGCCUGAUGCAGCGACGCCGCGUGAGGGAUGACGGCCUUCGGGUUGUAAACCUCUUUCAGUAGGGAAGAAGCGAGAGUGACGGUACCUGCAGAAGAAGCGCCGGCUAACUACGUGCCAGCAGCCGCGGUAAUACGUAGGGCGCAAGCGUUGUCCGGAAUUAUUGGGCGUAAAGAGCUCGUAGGCGGUUUGUCGCGUCUGCUGUGAAAGCCCGGGGCUCAACCCCGGGUCUGCAGUGGGUACGGGCAGACUAGAGUGCAGUAGGGGAGACUGGAAUUCCUGGUGUAGCGGUGAAAUGCGCAGAUAUCAGGAGGAACACCGAUGGCGAAGGCAGGUCUCUGGGCUGUUACUGACGCUGAGGAGCGAAAGCAUGGGGAGCGAACAGGAUUAGAUACCCUGGUAGUCCAUGCCGUAAACGUUGGGCACUAGGUGUGGGGGACAUUCCACGUUUUCCGCGCCGUAGCUAACGCAUUAAGUGCCCCGCCUGGGGAGUACGGCCGCAAGGCUAAAACUCAAAGGAAUUGACGGGGGCCCGCACAAGCGGCGGAGCAUGCGGAUUAAUUCGAUGCAACGCGAAGAACCUUACCAAGGCUUGACAUUCACCGGACCGCCCCAGAGAUGGGGUUUCCCUUCGGGGCUGGUGGACAGGUGGUGCAUGGUUGUCGUCAGCUCGUGUCGUGAGAUGUUGGGUUAAGUCCCGCAACGAGCGCAACCCUCGUUCUAUGUUGCCAGCACGUGAUGGUGGGGACUCAUAGGAGACUGCCGGGGUCAACUCGGAGGAAGGUGGGGAUGACGUCAAAUCAUCAUGCCCCUUAUGUCUUGGGCUUCACGCAUGCUACAAUGGCCGGUACAAAGGGUUGCGAUACUGUGAGGUGGAGCUAAUCCCAAAAAGCCGGUCUCAGUUCGGAUUGAGGUCUGCAACUCGACCUCAUGAAGUCGGAGUCGCUAGUAAUCGCAGAUCAGCAACGCUGCGGUGAAUACGUUCCCGGGCCUUGUACACACCGCCCGUCAAGUCACGAAAGUUGGUAACACCCGAAGCCGGUGGCCUAACCCCUUGUGGGAGGGAGCCGUCGAAGGUGGGACUGGCGAUUGGGACUAAGUCGUAACAAGGUAGCCGUACCGGAAGGUGCGGCUGGAUCACCUCCUUUCUAAGGA